This 253-nucleotide ribosomal RNA is filed under the name uncultured bacterium. Its description in RNAcentral is "partial 16S ribosomal RNA". It matches the Rfam family "Bacterial small subunit ribosomal RNA", at positions 524 to 776 of the family's 1533-position model. The record is from RNAcentral.
UACAGAGGUCUCAAGCGUUGUCCGGAAUCAUUGGGCGUAAAGCGCGCGUAGGCGGCCCGGUAAGUCCGCUGUGAAAGUCAAAGGCUCAACCUUUGAAUGUCAGCGGAUACUGCCGGGCUAGAGUCCGGAAGAGGCGAGUGGAACUCCUGGUGUAGCGGUGGAAUGCGCAGAUAUCAGGAGGAACACCAAUGGCGAAGGCAGCUCUCUGGUACGUGACUGACGCUGAGACGCGAAAGCGUGGGUAGCAAACGGG